Molecule: ribosomal RNA, 497 nt
Filed under: uncultured bacterium
Lineage: Bacteria
Description: bacterial SSU rRNA
Rfam family: Bacterial small subunit ribosomal RNA
Source: RNAcentral
CCUGGCUCAGGAUGAACGCUAGCGGCAGGCCUAAUACAUGCAAGGUCGAACGGGAGGAAGUCCUUCGGGACUUCCGAGAGUGGCGCACGGGUGCGUAACGCGUAUGCAACCAACCCGCACUGGGGGACAGCCGGUGGAAACGCCGGGUAAUACCCCAUGCCGACAUCGAGGGACAUCCCUUGAGGUCGAAAGGCUUCGGUCGGUGCGGGACGGGCAUGCGUCCCAUUAGCUAGUUGGCGGGGCAACGGGCCCACCCAAGGCUACGAUGGGUAGGGGAUCUGAGAGACGGUCCCCCACACUGGUACUGAGACACGGACCAGACUCCUACGGGAGGCAGCAGUAAGGAAUAUUGGGCAAUGGGGGAACCCUGACCCAGCCAUGCCGCGUGAGGGAAGUAGGCCCUACGGGUCGUGAACCUCUUUUGUCGGGGGACAAGGACGGCGUCGAGAACGCCGUUUGCGGGUACCCGGCGAAUAAGCAUCGGCUAACUCCGUGCC